GGAUUACAGAGGUCUUUCAGAGUUGGCUAAAAGGUAGAGAAAACAUUAAGGAAAUUGAGGAAUCUUGACACCUGAAACAAUGGAGGAGGUUGGAUUUGGCCAAAGUUUCUAGCUUCUACUUUGCAAGUAUCCCAGAGUAAAGAAUGCAAAGAGCCUUGCUACCUUGGAGAAUAUGGACAAAACCCCUCAAUGAAUAGCUCACAAUAUGAUUCUGACACAAUAUCCUGUUAUAUAGUUGUACAGUAUUUUGGCUGAGACUAGGAUCCCCAGAUGUUGGAAGAUAUGCAUCUAUCAAGGAAAGAGGAAAAACUAACUUUUAAGAUGGGCUGUGUGGAGUUUCUAGAACUGUCCUGUAUCCACGAUGUUGAAGGUUGUUCAUUAAGUCUAGCAGAAAAGAAGAAAGGAAAACCCGGGUUGUACAUGGGGUGCUUGGCUACUAUAUCAACCUAGUCUACUUCUCUCCAGACUUCUAUGUGAGCAAAAUAAUCCACUUUAUUUACCUGCAGUCAAACUCAGUUCUGAUUGGAUACAAAGUAAGAAUAAGUGUUUUUGCCCUAAUCUCAAAAAAGAUGUCAUGGUUAGGGAAAGGGAAAAGAGUGUCAGAG
This 605-nucleotide long non-coding RNA is filed under the name Vulpes vulpes (red fox). RNAcentral's name for it is "lncRNA (ENSVVUG00000014227.1)". Lineage: Eukaryota; Metazoa; Chordata; Mammalia; Carnivora; Canidae. The record is from RNAcentral.